This 506-nucleotide ribosomal RNA is filed under the name uncultured bacterium. RNAcentral's name for it is "partial 16S ribosomal RNA". It matches the Rfam family "Bacterial small subunit ribosomal RNA", at positions 29 to 523 of the family's 1533-position model. The record is from RNAcentral.
AGUGAACGCUGGCGGUAGGCCUAACACAUGCAAGUCGAACGGCAGCACAGGAGAGCUUGCUCUCUGGGUGGCGAGUGGCGGACGGGUGAGGAAUACAUCGGAAUCUACUUUUUCGUGGGGGAUAACGUAGGGAAACUUACGCUAAUACCGCAUACGACCUACGGGUGAAAGCAGGGGAUCUUCGGACCUUGCGCGAUUGAAUGAGCCGAUGUCGGAUUAGCUAGUUGGCGGGGUAAAGGCCCACCAAGGCGACGAUCCGUAGCUGGUCUGAGAGGAUGGUCAGCCACACUGGAACUGAGACACGGUCCAGACUCCUACGGGAGGCAGCAGUGGGGAAUAUUGGACAAUGGGCGCAAGCCUGAUCCAGCCAUACCGCGUGGGUGAAGAAGGCCUUCGGGUUGUAAAGCCCUUUUGUUGGGAAAGAAAUCCAGCAGGUUAAUACCCGGUUGGGAUGACGGUACCCAAAGAAUAAGCACCGGCUAACUUCGUGCCAGCAGCCGCCGUAA